RNAcentral lists this transfer RNA (75 nucleotides) under Patescibacteria group bacterium. RNAcentral describes it as "tRNA-Glu". It matches the Rfam family "tRNA". From Rfam's summary of the family: Transfer RNA (tRNA) molecules are approximately 80 nucleotides in length. The record is from RNAcentral.
GGCCCUAUCGUCUAACGGUUAGGACGUAUCCUUCUCAAGGAUAAAAUCAGAGUUCGAUUCUCUGUAGGGUCACCA